CUUUAUCCCAGUGAUGGAUGCUCUUUAUAUAGAGCUUUGGAGGUACGAGGUUUCUCACUCCUGAGCUGGCAAAGAUUCCAAAAAUCCAUUAGGAUCAAAUCCUUUCUAGAUUUUGGUGUGGUCCCAGGAAUGAAGGUGGUGAAAUCUGUUUCUGUUUUGUCCGUAGUGAAAUCUUCAGAAUCAAGUAUCCUGUGUUGAGUUUCUCAUUUACCGCUGUGAAAGAUCUACGUGUCGUGGUUUAUUUUCAUGGAGUUUGUCUACUAUUAUUUGGUCAAGAUUAUACGCACAAUAGUGAUGCUCCUACCUGACUUUAAUAUUCGUCCAUCAUGGUUUAUAGCACAAAACAGGACUUCAACAUAUGUAUCUGUUCUUGGAGACAAUGCCCAUAUUUGCUUGACAGAGUUAUGGCAAUUGCAGGGUUAAAACCAACUUAUAGGAUGCAUAGGUUCAGGUAAUUUUAAUGAUGUCCUCUAGAGGUGAUGUAUAUUACUGCAUACUGUUUACCCAAUCCUCCAUUCGUCCUCACUUUAAACUCUUUGUUGGGAUGUUCUCCUCUCAUUGUCACAACCAGGAAUAGCUUGAUGUUCAAAGUUUGAAAUCAUUUUGCCUUGAUCAUUCGGCUGCUACUUGAAUGUGGUGAGAUAUUUAGGCUUUUGAAAAACUCCAGGUUUCAUUCAUCUUCAGUCACAACUUGGCAAGGCACACCUUUCGAAUGACUUUGUGCAUUUUGGCGGACUCUUCCUUCAUAUUCGAUGUAAAAACUCCUUAUCGUGAUCCUGUAAGUCACCACCAAGCCAAUCUAAAUCCAGGUCAAGAAUAUCAUUUGGCGAUAUUUUCAGCUUACUCGACAGCUGUUUUGGAAAUGAUGAGUCUAUGCUCAAAGUGACAGAGGGAUUCUUUCUGGCUGGAAAUUUGGAAUUGUCGUGCAAAACUCUUGCCAUUUUUUGGAACGAUGAGUCACAUAUAUAGUUUGCCUUGUA
Long non-coding RNA from Lathyrus oleraceus (garden pea), 980 nucleotides. RefSeq lists it as uncharacterized. NCBI's taxonomy places the organism in Eukaryota, Viridiplantae, Streptophyta, Magnoliopsida, Fabales, Fabaceae. The record is from RefSeq and is a predicted model, not a curated record. The transcript has 3 exons.